RNAcentral lists this ribosomal RNA (497 nucleotides) under uncultured bacterium. RNAcentral's name for it is "partial 16S ribosomal RNA". It matches the Rfam family "Bacterial small subunit ribosomal RNA", at positions 28 to 507 of the family's 1533-position model. The record is from RNAcentral.
GAUGAACGCUGGCGGCGUGCCUAAUACAUGCAAGUCGAGCGAACAGACGAGGAGCUUGCUCCUCUGACGUUAGCGGCGGACGGGUGAGUAACACGUGGAUAACCUACCUAUAAGACUGGGAUAACUUCGGGAAACCGGAGCUAAUACCGGAUAAUAUAUUGAACCGCAUGGUUCAAUAGUGAAAGACGGUUUUGCUGUCCCUUAUAGAUGGAUCCGCGCCGCAUUAGCUAGUUGGUAAGGUAACGGCUUACCAAGGCGACGAUGCGUAGCCGACCUGAGAGGGUGAUCGGCCACACUGGAACUGAGACACGGUCCAGACGCCUACGGGAGGCAGCAGUAGGGAAUCUUCCGCAAUGGGCGAAAGCCUGACGGAGCAACGCCGCGUGAGUGAUGAAGGUCUUCGGAUCGUAAAACUCUGUUAUUAGGGAAGAACAAAUGUGUAAGUAACUAUGCACGUCUUGACGGUACCUAAUCAGAAAGCCACGGCUAACUACGUG